This is a long non-coding RNA of Ochotona princeps (American pika), 632 nucleotides long. RefSeq lists it as uncharacterized. The transcript is spliced from 4 exons. NCBI's taxonomy places the organism in Eukaryota, Metazoa, Chordata, Mammalia, Lagomorpha, Ochotonidae. The record is from RefSeq and is a predicted model, not a curated record.
UCUGACUAUCUCAACAUUAAAACUGAUUUUUGAAUCCUCACCCUCAGGUAAGCCUGUAGUAACUGCAGUUGCCUGAGUAAACUCAAGAUGAGCAGAACCGCCCAGCUGAGACCAGCCCAGAAUCUAGAAUUGUCAAUAGAAGCUCUUUGCCAUGAAGGUUUGAGUUUGUUAUUAACAGCCUCCCAGACACAUUCCUUCUCUGAGGAGCAACAAAAAGCUGAAGUGAAUGCCCUUGCACCUUCAUCUCUGAACGUGCUGGGCAAAGAUAAGUAGUAAGACUCCUGCACAUUGAGUGAGUGGACAACCAAGAUACGAGCACGGAAUGUUCCCUUGAUUCUGCUUUGAAUUGUGAACAGCUGUCCUGAUCCAUCUCUCAUCGCCUGAAGCUGCUGGUUCAGACUCAGCAAUAGCCAGCACAGUUCUACCACAGUGUCUUAAAGGCAUGAAGUCAGCUCACAUCACACUGAACAUGGGAACUUAAAAAAAUAUGCUCAAGGAGCGAUUCUUUUUUGCCAUUAUUGAAUGCAACAAGAGAGUGAAGCUGAGACGAUAAAGUAACUUGUACAAGAUCAGAAAGAGACAGGGAGAGAAUCCACAUGGCCGUAUAUUAAAAGGAACUGUGAAACUACAAG